UACGUAGGGUGCAAGCGUUAAUCGGAAUUACUGGGCGUAAAGCGUGCGCAGGCGGUUUUGUAAGUCUGAUGUGAAAUCCCCGGGCUCAACCUGGGAAUUGCAUUGGAGACUGCAAGGCUAGAAUCUGGCAGAGGGGGGUAGAAUUCCACGUGUAGCAGUGAAAUGCGUAGAGAUGUGGAGGAACACCGAUGGCGAAGGCAGCCCCCUGGGUCAAGAUUGACGCGCAUGCACGAAGGCGUG
This 240-nucleotide ribosomal RNA is filed under the name uncultured bacterium. RNAcentral describes it as "partial 16S ribosomal RNA". It matches the Rfam family "Bacterial small subunit ribosomal RNA", at positions 524 to 763 of the family's 1533-position model. The record is from RNAcentral.